CCCCUUACUUCCCUAUAUAAACCUCUAGCCGUCCAAACAAUGUCAGACAUUGCUGGACGGCAGAGGUACUAGUGACAUGUCUGGUGGCCACACUGAGCGCUUGUCUCUUAUUGGAGCUCUGCUAGCUCUCUACUGACACCUCUGGCCAAAUUUAAUAUGACACAUUUCUGCUAACCUCAGGUUUUUACAUUAUCAUAUGUUACUUUGUGACUAUAUGGGCCUGAGGUCUUGCUAUAUGUGAUUCUGCACCGCCGGCUUCCUUCCUCUUAAUUUCAUCCAGAGGAGUCUUUCUGCGUCCUGAUAGUGGUGUCCUUUCUCUGGGGUGUGCAGGGUUGAUUAAACGCUGUGAUUGAAAAGUGGUUCUUAUACUCGUUGACUACAUAUACUUCGGCCCCUGAUGAAGGGUAAUCCGAAACGCGUAGGGCCGUGUAUGUCUUCAUGGACCUUGCUUUUCAAUGACACCUAACCAUGUAUUGUUUUUAAAUAAUUCUAUGUGAUAUAUGUGUACAAUUUCCAUUUUUGAAUAUUAAAUUAUCUAUUUUUUGGAUUA
Molecule: long non-coding RNA, 550 nt
Organism: Rana temporaria (common frog)
Lineage: Eukaryota; Metazoa; Chordata; Amphibia; Anura; Ranidae
Exons: 4
Source: RefSeq, a predicted model, not a curated record